RNAcentral lists this ribosomal RNA (469 nucleotides) under uncultured bacterium. RNAcentral describes it as "partial 16S ribosomal RNA". It matches the Rfam family "Bacterial small subunit ribosomal RNA", at positions 28 to 507 of the family's 1533-position model. The record is from RNAcentral.
GAUGAACGCUGGCGGCGUGCUUAACACAUGCAAGUCGAACGGUGAACACGGAGCUUGCUCUGUGGGAUCAGUGGCGAACGGGUGAGUAACACGUGAGCAACCUGCCCCUGACUCUGGGAUAAGCGCUGGAAACGGCGACUAAUACUGGACAUGUGACGUGACCGCAUGGUCUGCGUUUGGAAAGAUUUUUGGGUUGGGGAUGGGCUCGCGGCCUAUCAGCUUGUUGGUGAGGUAAUGGCUCACCAAGGCGUCGACGGGUAGCCGGCCUGAGAGGGUGACCGGCCACACUGGGACUGAGACACGGCCCAGACUCCUACGGGAGGCAGCAGUGGGGAAUAGUGCACAAUGGGCGCAAGCCUGAUGCAGCAACGCCGCGUGAGGGAUGACGGCCUUCGGGUUGUAAACCUCUUUUGGCAGGGAAGUAGCGAAAGUGACGGUACCUGCAGAAAAAGCGCCGGCUAACUACGUG